RNAcentral lists this ribosomal RNA (543 nucleotides) under uncultured archaeon. Its description in RNAcentral is "bacterial SSU rRNA". It matches the Rfam family "Archaeal small subunit ribosomal RNA", at positions 326 to 869 of the family's 1478-position model. The record is from RNAcentral.
CGGGGUGCAGCAGGCGCGAAAACUUUACAAUGCCGGCAACGGCGAUAAGGGAACCUCGAGUGCCAGGUUACAAAUCUGGCUGUCGUGAUGCCUAAAAAGCAUUGCAUAGCAAGGGCCGGGCAAGACCGGUGCCAGCCGCCGCGGUAACACCGGCGGCUCGAGUGGUAACCGUUAUUAUUGGGUCUAAAGGGUCUGUAGCCGGCCGGGUAAGUCUCUUGGGAAAUCUGGCAGCUUAACUGUCAGGCUUUCAGGAGAUACUGCCUGGCUCGAGGCCGGGAGAGGUGAGAGGUACUUCAGGGGUAGGGGUGAAAUCUUGUAAUCCUUGAAGGACCACCAGUGGCGAAGGCGUCUCACCAGAACGGACCUGACGGCAAGGGACGAAAGCUAGGGGCACGAACCGGAUUAGAUACCCGGGUAGUCCUAGCCGUAAACGAUACUCGCUAGGUGUCGGCCACGGUGCGACCGUGGUCGGUGCCGUAGGGAAGCCGUGAAGCGAGCCACCUGGGAAGUACGGCCGCAAGGCUGAAACUUAAAGGAAUUGGC